Molecule: ribosomal RNA, 376 nt
Filed under: uncultured bacterium
Lineage: Bacteria
Description: bacterial SSU rRNA
Rfam family: Bacterial small subunit ribosomal RNA
Source: RNAcentral
UACGUAGGGGGCGAGCGUUGUCCGGAGUGACUGGGCGUAAAGAGCACGUAGGCGGUAAUAUAAGUCGGAUGUGAAACACCCGGGCUUAACCCGGGUAUUGCAAUCGAAACUGUAAUACUUGAGUACAGGAGAGGAAAGCGGAAUUCCCAGUGUAGCGGUGAAAUGCGUAGAUAUUGGGAGGAACACCAGUGGCGAAGGCGGCUUUCUGGACUGGAUCUGACGCUGAGGUGCGAGAGCUAGGGGAGCGAACAGGAUUAGAUACCCUGGUAGUCCUAGCCGUAAACGAUGGAUACUAGGUGUUGGUGGUUUAGAUACUAUCAGUGCUGCAGCUAACGCAAUAAGUAUCCCGCCUGGGGAGUAUGGUCGCAAGAUUGAA